CGUUAGCGGCGGACGGGUGAGUAACACGUGGGUAACCUACCUAUAAGACUGGGAUAACUUCGGGAAACCGGAGCUAAUACCGGAUAAUAUUUCGAACCGCAUGGUUCGAUAGUGAAAGGUGGUUUUGCUAUCACUUAUAGAUGGACCCGCGCCGUAUUAGCUAGUUGGUAAGGUAACUGCUUACCAAUGCGACGAUACGUAGCCGACCUGAGAGGGUGAUCGGCCAAACUGGAACUGAGACACGGUCCAGACUCCUACGGGAGGCAGCAGAU
This 272-nucleotide ribosomal RNA is filed under the name uncultured Staphylococcus sp. RNAcentral's name for it is "partial 16S ribosomal RNA". It matches the Rfam family "Bacterial small subunit ribosomal RNA", at positions 90 to 354 of the family's 1533-position model. The record is from RNAcentral. Lineage: Bacteria; Bacillati; Bacillota; Bacilli; Caryophanales; Staphylococcaceae.